GACCCAGAUAGCAAGCAGACGUUGAUUCAACAUUGAUUUUUGGUUGUAAAGGUCAGUAUCGGUCGUCGAUCAAAUUUCGAUGUUGAAUCAACGUUCACUAUUUGGUCGGAACAUCAGAACGUUAUUUCGUGGAAAAUAAAACAUCGAUUCAACGUCGAAAUCACAUUGACUCAUCAACCGACACAGCCGACGAAUCUGAUCUAAAUCAUAACGUCUGAUAUAAGUUGAAACUUGAUCAGAGGAAUCAGAGAUCUGCGCUUGCACUCUCACACAGAGAAAAAGGGUAACUAAAUGUAUUUUUAUUCAUUAUUUUAUAUAGCCUAGUGGGUUGUCCGUCUGUCACUGAAUAUUAUUGGCUACUUAAAGUCUGAAGUGGAAUGAACGUUUUAAAAGCAAUGACACACAAAACAUUUUAACUUGAGCUUUGUCGAAUGUUUAAUGUUUAUUCAUUUUGUUCUGCAGACAUGUGUUCUAUCACUGGCAAGCCGAUGCCUAUGUAAAUUCCGCGUGCUUUAAUGAGCGCGCGCUGAACAUUGGAGUAGCGUUCAUUCAGAUUCAAACACUGGAGCGGAGGGAGUUGCCAUGGAAACGGGGCGACCGACAACACUGGCAAGCUGCAAGCUCCGUUUCUUGCUGCUGUUUUCACUGCUUUCGAAAUGGUGUAGUGUUUUCGAACAAGUCCGUAAGCAUCUUAACCGUUAUCAGAGGAGGUAACGUAACGUAUGCUAACUCCAUAGACUGAGCUCUUUAUGAAAAGUUAGGGAUUUUAAUAACACAUUAAAAAUGAGAUAGAGAUAGAGACAGAGACAGCCAAAGGGUCAAGGCUUUUCUGGUUAACAUUGAUCAGUUAACACCUGCUGGUAGAUGCUGUAACUACACCUUAAUGCUGUUCUUGUACUUUAUAUUCAUCAAAGAAUCCUGGGAGGGGAAUGUAUCACGGUUUCCACAAAAUUAUCAGCACAAAUGUUUUCAACCAAACAAAUUCUUGAGCCGCC
Long non-coding RNA from Cyprinus carpio carpio, 995 nucleotides. NCBI's taxonomy places the organism in Eukaryota, Metazoa, Chordata, Actinopteri, Cypriniformes, Cyprinidae. The record is from Ensembl.